Molecule: ribosomal RNA, 253 nt
Filed under: uncultured bacterium
Lineage: Bacteria
Description: partial 16S ribosomal RNA
Rfam family: Bacterial small subunit ribosomal RNA
Source: RNAcentral
UACGGAGGGGGUUAGCGUUGUUCGGAAUUACAGGGCGUAAAGCGCGCGUAGGCGGACCAGAAAGUUGGGGGUGAAAUCCCGGGGCUCAACCCCGGAACGGCCUCCAAAACUCCUGGUCUUGAGUUCGAGAGAGGUGAGUGGAAUUCCGAGUGUAGAGGUGAAAUUCGUAGAUAUUCGGAGGAACACCAGUGGCGAAGGCGGCUCACUGGCUCGAUACUGACGCUGAGGUGCGAAAGUGUGGGGAGCAAACAGG